This is a long non-coding RNA of Cebus imitator (Panamanian white-faced capuchin), 2556 nucleotides long. RefSeq lists it as uncharacterized. The transcript has 4 exons. The record is from RefSeq and is a predicted model, not a curated record. Lineage: Eukaryota; Metazoa; Chordata; Mammalia; Primates; Cebidae.
UCUUGUGCCCAGAGAGGGGAAGGAAGGGCUCGUGGCCACGCAGCACACAGGGGUCAAGCGGGCGCUACCACCUGCCGCGUGCUACCAGGAAUGCAUUGGAGCCUCAUGGGCACUGGAGGUAGACGCUUCUCUUCUCCCGUUUCACAGACAAGGAAACCGAGGUGACUCCCCAGCCCAGGCCCAAGCACCUUUCCAGGCCUCUGCCGUGGGAGGUGCACCUCCAUCUCCCCCACGUCCUGGGUCAGCCCUCGGGGACUGCAGCCCCUGCCCACUAGGCUGGUGCCAAGGAGCACCGGCUCCUGGAAACCCAGAGAAGGCAGGCAACUCUUCCUCGUUGUCCUGGAGAUGCCGCCGAAGUCAGCCUGCUUGCCCUGCUGCCAGGGCUGCUGGGGACCCCAUGGAUGCCCACCCGGCCAGACACAGCUCCCGUCAUUAAAUAUGGCAAAGUGUGGCACCGGCUCCACAGACCCUACCGUGGAAGAGAGAGGUCCUACUCUUGCUGUCCUGGUAGAAGACGAGGCCCAGAGAGGGGCAGGACCCACUCAAGGCUGCACACCCCUGCCCUUCUUCUGAGGCUGUGGAAAUGGAGUCUCAGGGAGCCAGGGUCAGACAGGGGACACAUCCGGCUUCCUGACUCCCCACUCCAUCUUCACUCACUGCCAUCAGGUGCCCAGCGAGGCUCUCAGAAGCCCGAACUCUCUGUCCAGGGGCUGCCUCACUGGCCUGGACCCUGGGGGCUGCGGGGUCCUCCGGCUGGUCCCGAACUGGACUUCCCUGCCUCACCAUCCAGCUGCCCCAGGAUGGCCGUGAUGUGAGGUGGCACUCUCAUCCCCACCCAGCAGGAGGGACUCCCUGGGACAACACCCUGGAAGAGGUGAUGCCACAGCCAAAGCUGGAAGCCCGGUCUGCCAGCUCCCGUGCUGCAAGCCUACCUCAAAGUGCGAGCAGGUAGGCGCCCAUCUGUCCGUCCCUUACCAAACCUGUGCCCCAGGGCAGGCCUGAGCCGGGAGAGAGGGAUCCAGAUGACCAGAUGUGCCCCACACCCCCAGCCAGGGACUCUCAUUCUGGGACUGGGACAGAAGAGCGAGUCACAGCCGUGUGGCCAAUCGAUUUCGGUCCUCAUCUGCAGGGCCUGGGAAGGAGCUGGGCCCGAGAUGGGCCACCUGGGUCCCAGGCCUCGGGGGUCCCUGGGACAGCCCCGUCAGGGUUGACUGUGUCCGGCCCAGCAGGCAGCGUUUUGGCCUGGGGCCCUGCCUCCCGCUGUCUCUCCCAUGGCCUCUCCGCUUGGCCAAAAGUCACCUGGUCACUCCCUGGCUCUUAAAUUUGCGGGAGGCCGGUGGCAUUUCUCCAGACUCCCAGCCUUCCUAAUUUAUGUGCUGCUUGGUGGGGAGUAUUUUCUCUAAAAACAGGAUGAUGUGAGAAAAACAAUCAUGCCCCCAAACCACACUUAAUGGGUGGGUCGGGCUGGCUCGUUAGCGCUGAAUAAUCGGGCUUCAACCGCACCGCUGGGGAACACAAAUAAACAAGGGCACCAAGAGAAUAGGGGUGGGGGUUCCAGGCUUGGGGGGUGCUGCGCUUGUCAUCCAGGUGCGUGGGGGUGCAGGGGACACCGCCUGAGGGCUCCCCGCAGCAUGGGACGUGAGCGCCCCUGCACUGCAGCCACCGUGCUGGGCACCCACCUUGGGAAAGGUCACUGGGACUCGGUGCUGGUGUGUGUGUGGGGGUGGGGUGAGGCAGGCCCAUCCGCCCUCCCCUGGAGGAAACCCUUUGUGGUGAACCGAAAACCUGCUCGGUAAGUUAAGCUUGUUUCCUCCUGCCUGGUCCUCAGGAAAGAUGGGGAACAGCUGGUCACCACCCUUUCUCUAAUAAAUCCCAUCAGACUGCAUGCUGGGGGAGGGGCUGAGGGGCGAUGGGAAAGGAUGGGGGUCCCGCCAGCUCCCCUCAUCUGGCUGGACACAGUGGGACAGGCCCAGCCCCUGCCUCUGAGGCCCGGGGAGAGGUGCAGAUCCCCAUCGACCCCCGACUCCUGGUUAUCCAAAGGGAAGACCCUAGCGGGGCUUAAGCCCCCGUCACCCCACUUCCGCUGCCUUUGUGUGGGGGUGGGGGCGUGUGGCGCUGAAGGAAAGCUGGGGUCCACGGGGACGGCGUCACUCCUUUUGUGCGGCCAAGUUGCAGGCGCGUUGUGUGCCGGUCCGAACUUGAGCUCACGAUUUGGGAUUAGAGCAAAUCCGAGUCUUUUUCUGCAUGCCUGCCCGCUCCCGGGCGCCCAGAGCCUGCUGGGUAACUGCCUAUUAUCCGCCGGUUCCACUCCAGUGCCCUCCCCAAUAAAACUUUUCAUAUCCUUAUAAACGAACUCGAUUGCUGUGUUAUAAACAUUUACACUGUGCUAACAGAUCAUCUCCGCACAUCAGAAUUGGCUAAAUUCCCUUUUCCAGAUGAAUAUAUUGAAGGAGAUUAGAGAUAUGAUAGCUUUUCAGAUUGCUGAACCCAGAGAAAUUAGUUUAGUGAGCAUUUACAGAGGCUAAAUUGGAACCAUUAAAUAGUGGAUUAAAUUGA